CUAACGCGUUCGGCAGUCCUUACGCUAUCAAGCGAACGGAUAACAGGUCUUCGGAUGCUGACGAGUGGCGAACGGUAUACAUCGGAACGUGCCCGAGAGUGGGGGAUAACGAAGCGAAAGCUUUGCUAGUACCGCAUACGAUCUCAGGAUGAAAGCAGGAGACCGCAAUGCCUUGCGCUCACGGAGCGGCCGAUGGCAGAUUAGGUAGUUGGUGGGAUAAAAGCUUACCAAGCCGACGAUCUGUAGCUGGUCUGAGAGGACGACCAACCACACUGGGACUGAGACACGGCCCAGACUCCUACGGGAGGCAGCAGUGGGGAAUUUUGGACAAUGGGCGCAAGCCUGAUCCAGCCAUGCCGCGUGCAGGAUGAAGGCCUUCGGGUUGUAAACUGCUUUUGUC
RNAcentral lists this ribosomal RNA (400 nucleotides) under uncultured bacterium. Its description in RNAcentral is "bacterial SSU rRNA". It matches the Rfam family "Bacterial small subunit ribosomal RNA", at positions 32 to 440 of the family's 1533-position model. The record is from RNAcentral.